RNAcentral lists this ribosomal RNA (563 nucleotides) under Salmonella enterica subsp. enterica. Its description in RNAcentral is "partial 23S ribosomal RNA". It matches the Rfam family "Bacterial large subunit ribosomal RNA", at positions 763 to 1242 of the family's 2925-position model. The record is from RNAcentral. Lineage: Bacteria; Pseudomonadati; Pseudomonadota; Gammaproteobacteria; Enterobacterales; Enterobacteriaceae.
UAACUGGAGGACCGAACCGACUAAUGUUGAAAAAUUAGCGGAUGACCUGUGGCUGGGGGUGAAAGGCCAAUCAAACCGGGAGAUAGCUGGUUCUCCCCGAAAGCUAUUUAGGUAGCGCCUCGUGAAUUCAUCUCCGGGGGUAGAGCACUGUUUCGGCUAGGGGGCCAUCCCGGCUUACCAACCCGAUGCAAACUGCGAAUACCGGAGAAUGUUAUCACGGGAGACACACGGCGGGUGCUAACGUCCGUCGUGAAGAGGGAAACAACCCAGACCGCCAGCUAAGGUCCCAAAGUCAUGGUUAAGUGGGAAACGAUGUGGGAAGGCCCAGACAGCCAGGAUGUUGGCUUAGAAGCAGCCAUCAUUUAAAGAAAGCGUAAUAGCUCACUGGUCGAGUCGGCCUGCGCGGAAGAUGUAACGGGGCUAAACCAUGCACCGAAGCUGCGGCAGCGAACGUAUCACUUAAAGCGAUUCAGCGGGUUACGAUUGACGGAGCGAAGCGACGUCAAAGCGUAUACAAAGUCGAGUCGGUUUAAGGAUACGUUCGUUGGGUAGGGGAGCGUUCU